This 288-nucleotide ribosomal RNA is filed under the name uncultured bacterium. RNAcentral's name for it is "partial 16S ribosomal RNA". It matches the Rfam family "Bacterial small subunit ribosomal RNA", at positions 333 to 638 of the family's 1533-position model. The record is from RNAcentral.
GUGGUCCUACGGGAGGCAGCAGUGGGGAAUAUUGUACAAUGGGGGAAACCCUGAUGCAGCAACGCCGCGUGAGUGAAGAAGUAUUUCGGUAUGUAAAGCUCUAUCAGCAGGGAAGAAGAUGACGGUACCUGAAUAAGAAGCCCCGGCUAACUACGUGCCAGCAGCCGCGGUAAUACGUAGGGGGCAAGCGUUAUCCGGAUUUACUGGGUGUAAAGGGAGCGCAGACGGCAGUGCAAGUCUGGAGUGAAAGCCCGGGGCCCAACCCCGGAACUGCUCUGGAAACUUGGC